This is an RNA transcript of Pyrus x bretschneideri (Chinese white pear), 3807 nucleotides long. RefSeq lists it as uncharacterized. The transcript has 11 exons. NCBI's taxonomy places the organism in Eukaryota, Viridiplantae, Streptophyta, Magnoliopsida, Rosales, Rosaceae. The record is from RefSeq and is a predicted model, not a curated record.
UUGGCAUUCUAUUUUUUCCGUUUCUAUACAGCGAAGUGGCGGAUUUACCCUUGCUGGCCACGCGUCUCUCAUCGCUUCACCUUCUGUUUCUUGACUCUUCUACUUCAUUCCACUCUCUCAUUCAAAAAAUCAGAUCGCUCAUCGCUUUUUCUCCAAACCUCUACUUCGACUACACUUCUAAAUUUUUCCUUUUGUGUUCACUUAUCUCUCUCUCUCAAAUCUCUGCUUCCGUCGCACUCGAACUCCUCCCGUCGCUUUCAAACGCCGGCUAAGCAGGUUACUCGGAGAAGUCUGUGAAGGGUCAAUAGGACAAGAUGGAUUGCGUUUCAAAGUGCAAAAAAUACAGGGCCUGCCUCUCUAUGCGUUUCCAAUCUUCCAUAAAUCAUGUUCGUGGAGGCGAUUUGAGAAGGAUUUGAAGCUCGGCUACAGAGAUUUGAUUCAAAUUGGUGGAUUUGGUUAGAGCUGACUAUAUGAGCACCCAAAUUGUUACUCGCAACUUGUUGUUAUAUUAAUGUGCUUGAUUUCAGCCUUCUCUUUUGAAUUCCUGAAAGAGUGGUUUGAAGUUGGAGAGACCAAGAACUGGGCACCCUCUACAGACUGCAGUACUACUAUUGCUAAGUAGUUUUAUGGGUGAUACAAUUACGAAGGUACUGUAUGAAGUUACAGAAUUUCAUGCGAACUUUCAAGAGAGUGAAGAAUGUACUGUUCACAAAGGCAAAACAGGGAACUACUACUUCAUAUGGGAAGAAGAGGUUGAAGUCACUGGUUUUAUUAAUGCUGGUGACCGAAAUCAAUCCAAGUUAAUGUUAAUACGAUAUCACAAUUUUUGUUAUGGUGAGGACUAAGAACUUAUAACCUUUUCUUUAUCUCUCAUUUUUUAAAUUAAGAAAUUUACUUUUUUAUACCUCUUUUGUGAUCAUUUACUGAGAGUUUGUUAAUUGUUUUAAUAUGUAUGAGGUAGGAUUUCUACGUUCAUUUCUCAUCUUUAGAGAUUGCUGGAUUUCAUGUUGUCGAAUAGUUUAUGGAUUUUUCAUAUUAAAUAUGUCAAUAUGUUAUUGCAGUAAUUCAAUUGAUGUGAUAUAAGUUGAUGUAUUUAUACCUUUAAACAUAAAAAAAAUUCACAUAAUUUUUAAUCCCACAGCAACACGUGGGCAAAACUUUAUAGUGUAAAACGAUAAUUGCGUUAUAUAUGUAGUUGUAGACAUAAUCUAAUGGUUGUCUUCCAUUAACUUUUAUUCCUUAAUCCUCAUCAAUUCAUUUGAUCCGACGGUCAAAAAUUGAAAGGGUUUGUAAAAGAUAAAAAGAGGUGUGUGGUUAACACCACCCCAUUUCUAUUUCAAAGUUGUCUUUUUUUUUUUUUUUGAACAAAUAAUAUUAUCUGCACUAAAGGGGAGAAUUGAGCUUAGCCUUAUAAUGAGCUAGCAAUAAUGUGAUUCAAAAUCGCAUUUGGCAAGAACAGAACCUAAGAUCUCUGACUUAUAAGUGAAUAAAAAUAUUAUUAGACCGUAGUACUAAGUGGUUUCGAAGUCAUAUUUUAGCAUAACUAUCGGCAAUUGCUGGUUGAAGGACCAAUAUGAUUAGAAGUUAGAACAUAAGUAAGUACCACCAAAGCAUCCAUUUUCUGAGGACAUCAACGAUUUCUUUACAAGAUCCGUUUGUCUCCCAUACAAUCACAUAUAAGUUGAGAAACCAGGAAGAUAAUACAGACUCAUUAUACAGGAGGAAACUUUAACACAUAAAUCAUAAAUGACUAAUUAAACUCAUAGGACCCCAAUAGAAAUCCUCCACACACAACUGCAACCCUGAUUUCCCAUUGUAAAACGGAAAAUUACGGACGGUGAAUGAAAUAGUAUGUUUGUGAGAGGAAGGGGAAACCGCAACAAUAAACUAUGUCAAUGACCGUGCCUUAUUAAAUUAGGCACGACCCAAGCUCAUUUAGAUAAGGCACUGCACGGCAUGAUUAGCAAUGAGUGGCCAGGUCAGUCCUAAGGUUUAGGUCCAAUAGGCUGGCCCAACAGCGAUUCAUCGUGGCCAAGCACGACCCAUGACGUGGGGCCAUUAUGAUGACUAUCCCAUUAAACUAAUACAGAAUUAAAUAUUAAUAUAUUUAUUCAUUAUUUUUCAAGUAAAACAUACGGUUUGGAGCUAAUAAGACUAAAUAAUUGUGAUAUUAGGUUUUAAACUAGAUUCAAAUAAUUUUUUCUGAUAAUAUAAGAUAACUAAAGUUUGUUGAGGGGCUUGUUUAGUCGCACAGCCCAAGAACGGCUUAGGCCCAUAUGACACCUUUAGGUAUUAGAGCGUUUGACACCUUUAGUUUUUAGGGGUGGGCAUGAGAACCUAGAAUCGAGAAACCGAAUUGAACCAUGACCAAAAAAAAAAAAAAAAAAACUUUUGACAAGAAUUGAAUUGAGCCGAUUCAGACUGGUUUCGAGUCAGGUUCUCAACUUGAAAAAACUAGCACAACCAAACUGAACCAACUAAUAGUAAUUUAAUUUUUAUUUUUUUUUAAUAAAUAAUAUUAUCUACAUUAAGAGGAUGGAUGAAAAUUUAUUUUUUAUGUUUUUAAAUAUAUUCAAUAAACAUAAUCCAUUUAACAGGCCCUUAAAGGGAUCCCCAAUUUUUUUUUUUUAAAUGGGGGCACCCUCUUAACCAUUAGAUUUGGCUUUAAUGAAAUUAUGUGGUUGAGAUUAAAUCAUAGGCUACAUAAUUUCAAUCACAGAAUUUCAUUAAAGCUAAAUUUAAUGACUAAGAGAGUGUCUCCAAUUUUUUUGAAAAAUAAGAAUCCCUCCCUUAAAGGCUUCCACCCAUCUAAUACUAAUCUCUCGCAAGGCCUACCAAAUUUAACUAAAUCGAAGGUGCAAAGGCUCAUAACCUAACUAAACCCUAGUGACUAUAUGUCUCUUCCUCUUCCUUUUCUUUAUGCAGUCUAGCCACCAAACCAGUCUCACGUUUUGUCUCUCCCCGUUUAGAGCCAGUCUCUCUUUUCUUCUCUACCAUUUCUUCUCUCUCUUUCCUUCUUCGCCCUCUCGUUUAUUCUCUACUAGUCUCACAAAUCUUGCAGGUUUAUGUUUUUACCUUGUACGCUUCCAGCAGUUUGGCUCAAAUUUGUAAGAAUUUAUCGGUGGAAACAUACUGUUGGACGUUGAAGCAGGACUCGAAGGAAAAAUAUAUCUCUACAAUAGAAUGCCAGAAGAGUACUUUGGUGUCUCAAGCCCCUUAAACAAAAAAAAUAAAAAAAUAAACAAAAAAAUUAAAAAAACGUACAGUUAGAACAAUAAACUCAAGCGUAAGAGUGGAAAGGUUCUUAAAAAAGAAGAAUAAAAAAAGUAUAACGUGGGAGAAAGGAUCGAUCACCACGUUCAGUUUUGCAACUACAUUCAGCAGUUACCCUUUCGGGUUUGCAGACUACCACACUCGUACGUGGGAUAAUGUUCGUUUUUGUAGACUCCGACACUCCAACACUCCAAAGUGGGAUAAAAGGGGUGCUCAAAUGAAAUUAAUCUGGGUAUAAGCUUCCGUUUUGCUUUGAGGAUGCCAAGUUUGGUAGCAAGAAAGCGCCGGAGUCGCAGCAAAACGGGCAGUCCACUGAUGGUGCGGUGAGUAAUCGGAGUAGUUCACAUGAAGAGAACAUGCAAAAAACUCGGCAACUCCUUCAAAUGGAGUCUUAUCUGCAUGACGUGUUAAAUUUCAUUGAGGAUGUCUUCUGGAAAUUCCAGUGCGAGGGUUCUAUGUGAUGUUCCCGUGGAUGAGGAAGCGAUGCAAAGGCAUCUUUAAAUUCAUAUGCCUUCUGGAAAUUCCAGUGUGAGG